Molecule: ribosomal RNA, 301 nt
Filed under: uncultured bacterium
Lineage: Bacteria
Description: partial 16S ribosomal RNA
Rfam family: Bacterial small subunit ribosomal RNA
Source: RNAcentral
CAGCAGCCGCGGUAAUACGAGGGGGGCAAGCGUUGUUCGGAUUUAUUGGGCGUAAAGGGUGCGUAAGCGGUUUGAUAAGUCUUGUGUGAAAUCUUCGGGCUCAACCCGAAGUCUGCACGAGAAACUGUCGGGCUGGAGUAUGGGAGAGGUGAGUGGAAUUUCCGGUGUAGCGGUGAAAUGCGUAGAUAUCGGAAAGAACACCAACGGCGAAAGCACUCUGCUGGGCCGACACUGACACUGAGAGGCGAAAGCUAGGGGAGCAAAUGGGAUUAGAUACCCGCGUAGUCCCUGUCUCUUAUAC